GACAGAGGUGCCGAGCGUUAGGCGGAAUCACUGGGCUUAAAGCGUGUGUAGGCGGAUCGUUAAGUACCUUGUGAAAUCCCACGGCUUAACCGUGGAACGGCUUGGUAUACUGGCGGUCUUGAGCCACUUAGGGGCUACCGGAACAAAUGGUGGAGCGGUGAAAUGCGUAGAUAUCAUUUGGAACGCCAAUGGUGAAAACAGGUAGCUGGGAGUGUGCUGACGCUGAGACACGAAAGCCAGGGGAGCAAACGGG
RNAcentral lists this ribosomal RNA (253 nucleotides) under uncultured bacterium. RNAcentral's name for it is "partial 16S ribosomal RNA". It matches the Rfam family "Bacterial small subunit ribosomal RNA", at positions 524 to 776 of the family's 1533-position model. The record is from RNAcentral.